UACGAAGGGGGGCUAGCGUUGCUCGGAAUUACUGGGCGUAAAGCGCACGUAGGCGGCUCGGUAAGUCUGCUGUGAAAGUCCAGGGCUCAACCCUGGAAUGCCGGUGGAUACUGUCGAGCUCGAGUCCGGAAGAGGCGAGUGGAAUUCCCGGUGUAGAGGUGAAAUUCGUAGAUAUCGGGAGGAACACCAGUGGCGAAGGCGGCGAUCUGGGAAGAUACGUGACGCUGAGGUGCGAAAGCGUGGGGAGCAAACAGGAGUUAGA
This 262-nucleotide ribosomal RNA is filed under the name uncultured bacterium. RNAcentral describes it as "partial 16S ribosomal RNA". It matches the Rfam family "Bacterial small subunit ribosomal RNA", at positions 524 to 782 of the family's 1533-position model. The record is from RNAcentral.